GGAGGCCAUAGCUCAGUGGUAGAGCAUCUGCUUUGCAUGUAAAAGGUUCUAGGUUCAACCCCCCUACAUCUCCA
Podarcis lilfordi (Lilford's wall lizard) is the source of this 74-nucleotide non-coding RNA. The record is from the annotation of a GenBank genome assembly. NCBI's taxonomy places the organism in Eukaryota, Metazoa, Chordata, Lepidosauria, Squamata, Lacertidae.